GGAUAGGAGAAUUGGAGGGCAAGUUUGGUGCCAGCAGCCGCGGUAAUACCGACUCCAAGAGUGUGUAUGAGAGAUGCUGCAGUUAAAAAGUCCGUAGUCAUAGAAGGGCAAAGAGAGAUGCGAGGUCUCACAGUGCGAUGAUGGAGGAGCCGAUGGGGAACAUAGUAUACCAGGGCGAGAGAUGAAAUGCCAAGACCCCUGGUGGACUGAGCGAGGCGAAGGCGAUGUUCUUGUAGGCAUUCGGUGAUCAAGGACGAAGGCUGGAGUAUCGAAAGUGAUUAGAUACCGCAGUAGUUCCAGCAGUAAAAGAUGCCGACAUGCUCAUUGGACACAGUGGGCAGGGAGAAAUCUUAGAGUUCGGGCUCUGGGGAUAGUAUGCUCGCAAGGGUGAAAAUUAAAGAAAUUGACGGAGCUACACCACAAGGAGUGGAUUGUGCGGCUUAAUUUGACUCAACGCGAGGAAACUUACCAGGGCCAAGUAUUGUGUAGAAACGAGCAAUACAGGAGUGGUGCAUGGUCGUUGGAAAUUGAUGGGAUGACUUUGACCUUAAAUGGUUGAAUGAGUGAGAUCUUUUGGACAUGUUCCGCACGGAACAGGAAGGAAAAGGCUAUAACAGAUCCGAGAUGCCCUCAGAUGCCCUGGGCUGCACGCGCAAUACAAUAGCAGGUAGAGAGAGAGACAGGAAGGUGCUCAGAUGGACUAUGUGCUGUAAGGCACAUACGAAAGAGGAAUUCCUAGUAAGU
RNAcentral lists this ribosomal RNA (744 nucleotides) under Vittaforma corneae. Its description in RNAcentral is "SSU rRNA". It matches the Rfam family "Microsporidia small subunit ribosomal RNA", at positions 363 to 1145 of the family's 1311-position model. The record is from RNAcentral. Lineage: Eukaryota; Fungi; Microsporidia; Nosematidae.